ACUCCUACGGGAGGCAGCAGUGGGGAAUAUUGCACAAUGGGGGGAAACCCCUGAUGCAGCCAUGCCGCGUGUGUGAAGAAGGCCUUCGGGUUGUAAAGCACUUUCAGUUGUGAGGAAAGGUUAGUCGCUAAUAUCGCUAGCUGUGACGUUAGCAACAGAAGAAGCACCGGCUAACUCCGUGCCAGCAGCCGCGGUAAUACGGAGGGUGCGAGCGUUAAUCGGAAUUACUGGGCGUAAAAGCGCGUGUAGGUGGCUUGUUAAGCCAGAUGUGAAAGCCCCGGGCUCAACCUGGGAACUGCAUUUGGAACUGGCAGGCUAGAGUUUUGUAGAGGGUGGUAGAAUUUCAGGUGUAGCGGUGAAAAUGCGUAGAGAU
This 373-nucleotide ribosomal RNA is filed under the name uncultured bacterium. RNAcentral describes it as "bacterial SSU rRNA". It matches the Rfam family "Bacterial small subunit ribosomal RNA", at positions 335 to 697 of the family's 1533-position model. The record is from RNAcentral.